CAUCAUCCUUGUCAUUGUGAGUCUAAAUUACUCUCACAACAGAGAAACACAACCAAUAAAAGGACAAAAAGAAAUGUGGCUUCUCCGUGACGAUGUGUUUUAUUUGUUCUGGAGUGACCAAAUUGAUUGUCGCGCUGCUGAGCGCUUCUGCUCUAAGAGAAACGCCAGUCUGGCUGUUUUAACUGAGCAUAACAAGGUCUGGUUGAUGUCUAGGACCAAUGGAAAGCAAUUUUUGGUCUCAAGAGCCUCAUCAGAUGGAUCUGGAGACACUGCUUCUCUCUCAGUGGAUGAUGAAAAUUUUGAGUGUGGCAUCAUAACCGAAGAUGUUGACACAGACCAUGGAGAAGGAUUUGUGUGUGAGAGGAGUGUGAAUCCCGGUCAGAAAUUGUGCAGACUUCAACAUCUUUUGAAGCUGUAAUGGAUAUACUGGACAGCUCCU
Carassius auratus (goldfish) is the source of this 439-nucleotide long non-coding RNA. RefSeq lists it as uncharacterized. NCBI's taxonomy places the organism in Eukaryota, Metazoa, Chordata, Actinopteri, Cypriniformes, Cyprinidae. The transcript is spliced from 5 exons. The record is from RefSeq and is a predicted model, not a curated record.